AGUGAACGCUGGCGGUAGGCCUAACACAUGCAAGUCGAACGGCAGCACAGUAAGAGCUUGCUCUUACGGGUGGCGAGUGGCGGACGGGUGAGGAAUACAUCGGAAUCUACUUUUUCGUGGGGGAUAACGUAGGGAAACUUACGCUAAUACCGCAUACGACCUACGGGGGAAAGCAGGGGAUCUUCGGACCUUGCGCGAUUGAAUGAGCCGAUGUCGGAUUAGCUAGUUGGCGGGGUAAAGGCCCACCAAGGCGACGAUCCGUAGCUGGUCUGAGAGGAUGAUCGGCCACACUGGAACUGAGACACGGUCCAGACUCCUACGGGAGGCAGCAGUGGGGAAUAUUGGACAAUGGGCGCAAGCCUGAUCCAGCCAUACCGCGUGGGUGAAGAAGGCCUUCGGGUUGUAAAGCCCUUUUGUUGGGAAAGAAAAGCAGCAGGUUAAUACCCCGCUGUUCUGACGGUACCCAAAGAAUAAGCACCGGCUAACUUCGUG
This 492-nucleotide ribosomal RNA is filed under the name uncultured bacterium. Its description in RNAcentral is "partial 16S ribosomal RNA". It matches the Rfam family "Bacterial small subunit ribosomal RNA", at positions 29 to 507 of the family's 1533-position model. The record is from RNAcentral.